Molecule: transfer-messenger RNA, 353 nt
Filed under: Psychromarinibacter sediminicola
Lineage: Bacteria; Pseudomonadati; Pseudomonadota; Alphaproteobacteria; Rhodobacterales; Paracoccaceae
Rfam family: Alphaproteobacteria transfer-messenger RNA
About the family: Bacterial tmRNA, also known as 10Sa RNA or SsrA, is named for its dual tRNA and mRNA-like properties. Its role is to liberate the mRNA from a stalled ribosome.
Source: RNAcentral
CCCCUUGCCGGACGCGCCGCGCAUCACUACAUUUCUCCUGCCGGUACGCCGGCUAUGGACAUAAACGCGCACGUAAUAAGCGGAUCGGACCCGGGGGCGGUACCCGGCGGCUCCACCAAAUACCCGGUCGUUGGCGGGGCAUGGGGCCGAAACAGGAUCGACGAACGUGUAAAGGUGUGGCUUUGUCCCGGUGAGGUACCACCGUUAUCGGUCCGUCAAAGCAUAAUUGCCAACGACAAUCGUGCUCCGGUCGCCGUUGCCGCCUAAGCGGUAACGAGACCGAAAUCUUGAAGCCCAGUCCUCUAGCCAGGGCUGGCGGGGUUCGCAGGCACCUGGCAACAGAAGCCUGCAUC